RNAcentral lists this ribosomal RNA (591 nucleotides) under uncultured bacterium. RNAcentral describes it as "partial 16S ribosomal RNA". It matches the Rfam family "Bacterial small subunit ribosomal RNA", at positions 355 to 1375 of the family's 1533-position model. The record is from RNAcentral.
UGGGGAAUUUUGGACAAUGGGCGAAAGCCUGAUCCAGCAAUGCCGCGUGUGUGAAGAAGGCCUUCGGGUUGUAAAGCACUUUUGUCCGGAAAGAAAUCCUUGGCUCUAAUACAGUCGGGGGAUGACGGUACCGGAAGAAUAAGCACCGGCUAACUACGUGCCAGCAGCCGCGGUAAUACGUAGGGUGCGAGCGUUAAUCGGAAUUACUGGGCGUAAAGCGUGCGCAGGCGGUUUGCUAAGACCGAUGUGAAAUCCCCGGGCUCAACCUGGGAACUGCAUUGGUGACUGGCAGGCUAGAGUAUGGCAGAGGGGGGUAGAAUUCCACGUGUAGCAGUGAAAUGCGUAGAGAUGUGGAGGAAUACCGAUGGCGAAGGCAGCCCCCUGGGCCAAAUACUGACGCUCAUGCACGAAAAGCGUGGGGGAGCAAAACAGGAUUAGAUACCCUGGUAGUCCACGUACCUAAACGAUGUCAACUAGUUGGUUGGGAUUCAUUUCCUUAGUAACGUAGCUAACGCGUGAAGUUGACCGCCUGGGGAGUACGGUCGCAAAGAUUAAAACUCAAAUGAAUUGACGGGGUCAUAGCUGUUUCCU